This 253-nucleotide ribosomal RNA is filed under the name uncultured bacterium. Its description in RNAcentral is "partial 16S ribosomal RNA". It matches the Rfam family "Bacterial small subunit ribosomal RNA", at positions 524 to 776 of the family's 1533-position model. The record is from RNAcentral.
UACGUAGGGCGCAAGCGUUGUCCGGAAUUAUUGGGCGUAAAGAGCUCGUAGGCGGUCUGUUACGUCCGCUGUGAAAACCCAGGGCUUAACCCUGGGCUUGCAGUGGAUACGGGUAGACUAGAGGCAGGUAGGGGAGAAUGGAAUUCCCGGUGUAGCGGUGAAAUGCGCAGAUAUCGGGAGGAACACCGGUGGCGAAGGCGGUUCUCUGGGACGGUACUGACGCUGAGACGCGAAAGCGUGGGGAGCGAACAGG